UUUGGUUAAGUUAGAAAGGGCGCACGGUGGAUGCCUUGACACUAGGAGUCGAUGAAGGACGGGACUAACGCCGAUAUGCUUCGGGGAGCUGUAAGUAAGCUUUGAUCCGAAGAUUUCCGAAUGGGGAAACCCACCAUACGUAAUGGUAUGGUAUCCUUAUCUGAAUACAUAGGGUAAGGAAGACAGACCCAGGGAACUGAAACAUCUAAGUACCUGGAGGAAGAGAAAGCAAAUGCGAUUUCCUGAGUAGCGGCGAGCGAAACGGAACAUAGCCCAAACCAAGAGGCUUGCCUCUUGGGGUUGUAGGACAUUCUAUACGGAGUUACAAAGGAACGAGGUAGACGAAGCGACCUGGAAAGGUCCGUCGUAGAGGGUAACAACCCCGUAGUCGAAACUUCGUUCUCUCUUGAAUGUAUCCUGAGUACGGCGGAACACGUGAAAUUCCGUCGGAAUCUGGGAGGACCAUCUCCCAAGGCUAAAUACUCCCUAGUGAUCGAUAGUGAACCAGUACCGUGAGGGAAAGGUGAAAAGCACCCCGGAAGGGGAGUGAAAGAGAUCCUGAAACCGUGUGCCUACAAAUAGUCAGAGCCCGUUAACGGGUGAUGGCGUGCCUUUUGUAGAAUGAACCGGCGAGUUACGAUCCCGUGCGAGGUUAAGCUGAAGAGGCGGAGCCGCAGCGAAAGCGAGUCUGAAUAGGGCGUUUAGUACGUGGUCGUAGACCCGAAACCAGGUGAUCUACCCAUGUCCAGGGUGAAGUUCAGGUAACACUGAAUGGAGGCCCGAACCCACGCACGUUGAAAAGUGCGGGGAUGAGGUGUGGGUAGCGGAGAAAUUCCAAUCGAACCUGGAGAUAGCUGGUUCUCCCCGAAAUAGCUUUAGGGCUAGCCUUAAGUGUAAGAGUCUUGGAGGUAGAGCACUGAUUGGACUAGGGGUCCUCAUCGGAUUACCGAAUUCAGUCAAACUCCGAAUGCCAAUGACUUAUCCUUAGGAGUCAGACUGCGAGUGAUAAGAUCCGUAGUCAAAAGGGAAACAGCCCAGACCGCCAGCUAAGGUCCCAAAGUGUGUAUUAAGUGGAAAAGGAUGUGGAGUUGCUUAGACAACUAGGAUGUUGGCUUAGAAGCAGCCACCAUUUAAAGAGUGCGUAAUAGCUCACUAGUCGAGUGACUCUGCGCCGAAAAUGUACCGGGGCUAAAUACACCACCGAAGCUGCGGAUUGAUACCAAUGGUAUCAGUGGUAGGGGAGCGUUCUAAGGACAGUGAAGUCAGACCGGAAGGACUGGUGGAGUGCUUAGAAGUGAGAAUGCCGGUAUGAGUAGCGAAAGACGGGUGAGAAUCCCGUCCACCGAAUGCCUAAGGUUUCCUGAGGAAGGCUCGUCCGCUCAGGGUUAGUCAGGACCUAAGCCGAGGCCGACAGGCGUAGGCGAUGGACAACAGGUUGAUAUUCCUGUACCACCUCUUUAUCGUUUGAGCAAUGGAGGGACGCAGAAGGAUAGAAGAAGCGUGCGAUUGGUUGUGCACGUCCAAGCAGUUAGGCUGAUAAGUAGGCAAAUCCGCUUAUCGUGAAGGUUGAGCUGUGAUGGGGAAGCUCCUUAUGGAGCGAAGUCUUUGAUUCCCCGCUGCCAAGAAAAGCUUCUAGCGAGAUAAAAGGUGCCUGUACCGCAAACCGACACAGGUAGGCGAGGAGAGAAUCCUAAGGUGUGCGAGAGAACUCUGGUUAAGGAACUCGGCAAAAUGACCCCGUAACUUCGGGAGAAGGGGUGCUUUCUUAACGGAAAGCCGCAGUGAAUAGGCCCAAGCGACUGUUUAGCAAAAACACAGCUCUCUGCGAAGCCGUAAGGCGAAGUAUAGGGGGUGACACCUGCCCGGUGCUGGAAGGUUAAGGAGAGGGGUUAGCGUAAGCGAAGCUCUGAACUGAAGCCCCAGUAAACGGCGGCCGUAACUAUAACGGUCCUAAGGUAGCGAAAUUCCUUGUCGGGUAAGUUCCGACCCGCACGAAAGGUGUAACGAUUUGGGCACUGUCUCAACCAGAGACUCGGUGAAAUUAUAGUACCUGUGAAGAUGCAGGUUACCCGCGACAGGACGGAAAGACCCCGUGGAGCUUUACUGUAGCCUGAUAUUGAAUUUUGGUACAGUUUGUACAGGAUAGGCGGGAGCCUUUGAAACCGGAGCGCUAGCUUCGGUGGAGGCGCUGGUGGGAUACCGCCCUGACUGUAUUGAAAUUCUAACCUACGGGUCUUAUCGACCCGGGAGACAGUGUCAGGUGGGCAGUUUGACUGGGGCGGUCGCCUCCUAAAGUGUAACGGAGGCGCCCAAAGGUUCCCUCAGAAUGGUUGGAAAUCAUUCGUAGAGUGCAAAGGCAUAAGGGAGCUUGACUGCGAGACCUACAAGUCGAGCAGGGACGAAAGUCGGGCUUAGUGAUCCGGUGGUUCCGCAUGGAAGGGCCAUCGCUCAACGGAUAAAAGCUACCCCGGGGAUAACAGGCUUAUCUCCCCCAAGAGUCCACAUCGACGGGGAGGUUUGGCACCUCGAUGUCGGCUCAUCGCAUCCUGGGGCUGUAGUCGGUCCCAAGGGUUGGGCUGUUCGCCCAUUAAAGCGGUACGCGAGCUGGGUUCAGAACGUCGUGAGACAGUUCGGUCCCUAUCCGUCGUGGGCGUAGGAAAUUUGAGAGGAGCUGUCCUUAGUACGAGAGGACCGGGAUGGACGCACCGCUGGUGUACCAGUUGUUCUGCCAAGGGCAUAGCUGGGUAGCUAUGUGCGGAAGGGAUAAGUGCUGAAAGCAUCUAAGCAUGAAGCCCCCCUCAAGAUGAGAUUUCCCAUAGCGUAAGCUAGUAAGAUCCCUGAAAGAUGAUCAGGUUGAUAGGUUCGAGGUGGAAGCAUGGUGACAUGUGGAGCUGACGAAUACUAAUAGAUCGAGGACUUAACCAUAUAA
RNAcentral lists this ribosomal RNA (2929 nucleotides) under Bacillus anthracis (anthrax bacterium). Its description in RNAcentral is "23S ribosomal RNA". It matches the Rfam family "Bacterial large subunit ribosomal RNA". The record is from RNAcentral. Lineage: Bacteria; Bacillati; Bacillota; Bacilli; Caryophanales; Bacillaceae.